UUUCCUUAUGCAACCUUUCUGUUCAUUUUCCAGGCAGCCACCAAUGUCAAGAUGUUCAUAAAUAGCAUCAACUAUAAUUCCUGUCAGCAUUUAUAUGUUAUUGUUAGGCAACAGAUGGGUGUGUACCUAUUUGGUAGCUUGUUUCUGGUUUGGAA
Long non-coding RNA from Thalassophryne amazonica, 155 nucleotides. RefSeq lists it as uncharacterized. NCBI's taxonomy places the organism in Eukaryota, Metazoa, Chordata, Actinopteri, Batrachoidiformes, Batrachoididae. The transcript is spliced from 3 exons. The record is from RefSeq and is a predicted model, not a curated record.